This 275-nucleotide non-coding RNA is filed under the name Lipomyces starkeyi NRRL Y-11557. RNAcentral's name for it is "Eukaryotic large subunit ribosomal RNA". It matches the Rfam family "Eukaryotic large subunit ribosomal RNA", at positions 675 to 954 of the family's 3401-position model. The record is from Rfam by way of RNAcentral. Lineage: Eukaryota; Fungi; Ascomycota; Lipomycetes; Lipomycetales; Lipomycetaceae.
CUAACAACUAUGCGAGUGUUUGGGUGUAAAACCCGUACGCAUAAUGAAAGUGAACGUAGGUGGGAACCUUUUGGUGCACCAUCGACCGAUCCUGAUGUAUUCGGAUGGAUUUGAGUAAGAGCAUAGCUGUUGGGACCCGAAAGAUGGUGAACUAUGCCUGAAUAGGGUGAAGCCAGAGGAAACUCUGGUGGAGGCUCGUAGCGAUUCUGACGUGCAAAUCGAUCGUCAAAUUUGGGUAUAGGGGCGAAAGACUAAUCGAACCAUCUAGUAGCUGG